UAGGGAAUCUUCGGCAAUGGACGGAAGUCUGACCGAGCAACGCCGCGUGAGUGAAGAAGGUUUUCGGAUCGUAAAGCUCUGUUGUAAGAGAAGAACGAGUGUGAGAGUGGAAAGUUCACACUGUGACGGUAACUUACCAGAAAGGGACGGCUAACUACGUGCCAGCAGCCGCGGUAAUACGUAGGUCCCGAGCGUUAUCCGGAUUUAUUGGGCGUAAAGCGAGCGCAGGCGGUUAGAUAAGUCUGAAGUUAAAGGCUGUGGCUUAACCAUAGUACGCUUUGGAAACUGUUUAACUUGAGUGCAGAAGGGGAGAGUGGAAUUCCAUGUGUAGCGGUGAAAUGCGUAGAUAUAUGGAGGAACACCGGUGGCGAAAGCGGCUCUCUGGUCUGUAACUGACGCUGAGGCUCGAAAGCGUGGGGAGCAAACAGGAUUAGAUACCCUGGUAGUCCACGCCGUAAACGAUGAGUGCUAGGUGUUGGGUCCUUUCCGGGACUCAGUGCCGCAGCUAACGCAUUAAGCACUCCGCCUGGGGAGUACGACCGCAAGGUUG
RNAcentral lists this ribosomal RNA (550 nucleotides) under uncultured bacterium. RNAcentral's name for it is "bacterial SSU rRNA". It matches the Rfam family "Bacterial small subunit ribosomal RNA", at positions 355 to 896 of the family's 1533-position model. The record is from RNAcentral.